CAUCCUCCAAGGCUAAAUACUCCUGACUGACCGAUAGUGAACCAGUACCGUGAGGGAAAGGCGAAAAGAACCCCGGCGAGGGGAGUGAAAAAGAACCUGAAACCGUGUACGUACAAGCAGUGGGAGCACAGGUUUACCUGUGUGACUGCGUACCUUUUGUAUAAUGGGUCAGCGACUUAUAUUCUGUAGCAAGGUUAACCGCAUAGGGGAGCCGGAGGGAAACCGAGUCUUAAUUGGGCGUUAAGUUGCAGGGUAUAGACCCGAAACCCGGUGAUCUAGCCAUGGGCAGGUUGAAGGUUGGGUAACACUAACUGGAGGACCGAACCGACUAAUGUUGAAAAAUUAGCGGAUGACCUGUGGCUGGGGGUGAAAGGCCAAUCAAACCGGGAGAUAGCUGGUUCUCCCCGAAAGCUAUUUAGGUAGCGCCUCGUGAAUUCAUCUCCGGGGGUAGAGCACUGUUUCGGCUAGGGGGCCAUCCCGGCUUACCAACCCGAUGCAAACUGCGAAUACCGGAGAAUGUUAUCACGGGAGACACACGGCGGGUGCUAACGUCCGUCGUGAAGAGGGAAACAACCCAGACCGCCAGCUAAGGUCCCAAAGUCAUGGUUAAGUGGGAAACGAUGUGGGAAGGCCCAGACAGCCAGGAUGUUGGCUUAGAAGCAGCCAUCAUUUAAAGAAAGCGUAAUAGCUCACUGGUCGAGUCGGCCUGCGCGGAAGAUGUAACGGGGCUAAACCAUGCACCGAAGCUGCGGCAGCGACACUCAGGUGUUGUUGGGUAGGGGAGCGUUCUGUAAGCCUGCGAAGGUGGCCUGUGAGGGUUGCUGGAGGUAUCAGAAGUGCGAAUGCUGACAUAAGUAACGAUAAAGCGGGUGAAAAGCCCGCUCGCCGGAAGACCAA
Molecule: ribosomal RNA, 897 nt
Filed under: Salmonella enterica subsp. enterica serovar Agona
Lineage: Bacteria; Pseudomonadati; Pseudomonadota; Gammaproteobacteria; Enterobacterales; Enterobacteriaceae
Description: partial 23S ribosomal RNA
Rfam family: Bacterial large subunit ribosomal RNA
Source: RNAcentral